Molecule: ribosomal RNA, 253 nt
Filed under: uncultured bacterium
Lineage: Bacteria
Description: partial 16S ribosomal RNA
Rfam family: Bacterial small subunit ribosomal RNA
Source: RNAcentral
UACGAAGGGGGCUAGCGUUGCUCGGAAUCACUGGGCGUAAAGGGUGCGUAGGCGGGUCUUUAAGUCAGGGGUGAAAUCCUGGAGCUCAACUCCAGAACUGCCUUUGAUACUGAGGAUCUUGAGUCCGGGAGAGGUGAGUGGAACUGCGAGUGUAGAGGUGAAAUUCGUAGAUAUUCGGAAGAACACCAGUGGCGAAGGCGGCUCACUGGCCCAUUACCGACGCUCAGGCGCGAUAGCGUGGGGAGCAAACAGG